UUAAUUUAACACAGAGCGAAGUCGACCUCAGAGCCAAGAUGCUUUUAGUUCUUAUUUAUUAAUUCAAAUUAUAGUUUUCUCUUUUGAAAAGUAUUUAUUUAAUCAGUGUCACCUGUGCAGGUAAAACACACCAAAACAGAGGUCAGGGUGUAAAUGAAUGCAUUGAUGCAUUGACACUGAUUAUUUUUCACAGUUAAACAAUGUAUUUUUUAGAGUUGUUAUUUAUAUUAUUAUCAUUAGUGCUAUAGUUAAAGUGGGUCCAGUAUAGCCUGGCCACUAGUUUAGUAAAAGUUUCUAUAAAUGUUUUAUACAACAUUUUAUUUAAUUGUAACAUUAUCGAUACUAUUAAAAUAGCUAUUUGAUAUAAAUAAUGUAGAGUUAAUAUGUGUGUAUAUUAUUAAUGAUUAUAAUAUAUUAUUUAUGGAUUUUAUUUUACAACACAAACACUUUUGGAAGGUUUUUCAGACAUAAUUAAGUGCUCGGCUCUACGAAGGACAGACAGAACUAGCCUAGCUUGCUAACGUUCAUCCUGCAUUAUACAAUAAGGGGGUCUUGCUAGCCAGCAGUUGGAAAAACAUUUUAAUUUCUUGGAAAAGAUAAAUCUAAAUGUCACUUUUUGGAGGGGAAAUGAGAUUAAAGCAGGACGGGCGAUGUCGGUUCUUCUUCUUAGGUCUAAAGGUUUCAGUCUGCUGCUGCUGAAUUAAAUAUGAUCUCCUCUCGUGUAAUCUGCCACGGAGAGCGUUAAACUUUCAUGUGUUGCGUCUUUAACCACCACAGAGCAAGGCAGCGGGCCUGACGGGUCGCGGGUUCAGAUGUCUGAUACGCUCUCAGAGGCCGAACACCUGAAUGUGAGCAGCAGGAGAAUCUGUUCAAGCUUUCAUGGAGCUGCUUUUCUUUCCAUAAAUCCUUCUCCCUGCCGCUGAAACCAAACCUGCUCCCCUGUGGAUGUUUCUGUUAGCAGAUGAAAUAAAAUGAACAUAUUAAUAAUAAAAAUAAAGGCCGUGUUUGCAGCCGCUCAUCGGUAAAUGAGCCGUGUGCAGCUCCACAGAACAGAAAACCUCUCUGAGCUCUUUAUUUCUGACGUUUGUUGCGGUGACGGCAGUAAAAAUCAGCCAGCUGAGUGAACAGGAGGUUUGUGGAGGACGAGUCCCCGAGGACGCUGGCAGUCUGUAACUCUGUAAGCAGUCUGGAAAAACGCCGUGUGUUGGUUUUCCCAUCAUGCCUCAGUGAAGCGCUCUGUGCUGCGGCCGUUCUGGAUCUUUCUGACAGCCUUGAACCACAAUCUGAAUAAAAACAAGGACUCUGCGUGUCUGCAGGUUUCUGAGACAUGCUGCAAACAACAUCGUGAAUAUUUCUGUCAGAGGCUGCAGCAAACCUGAAACAGGUUCCUCACGGACCAGAGGGUCCUGUGGGUCAACAUCUCCACAGAAAGAUUUAAAAUUCAUUUGAAUCCUCAUCUUCGUCGGUUUGUAUUUGUUGUUAUUUAUUUAUUCUAUUUCCAACAUUUCUAAAGCUGCAAUAUUGAAUUUUUGAAUUUGUUCUUUUGUGAAUUUGUUCUUUUUCUUUGCUGAGAAGGAAAUGAUUGUAAGGCUGUCAGAUCUCACGCUGUCAGUAGAGCUGCAGCUGACCAGUAUGUGCAGCUGCUGCACUGAUCAUAUUUUAUUUAUUAAUACACAUUUUGCAUUCUUAAAUGA
Molecule: long non-coding RNA, 1694 nt
Organism: Micropterus salmoides (largemouth bass)
Lineage: Eukaryota; Metazoa; Chordata; Actinopteri; Centrarchiformes; Centrarchidae
Exons: 2
Source: RefSeq, a predicted model, not a curated record